Molecule: ribosomal RNA, 293 nt
Filed under: Dermacentor albipictus
Lineage: Eukaryota; Metazoa; Arthropoda; Arachnida; Ixodida; Ixodidae
Description: partial 16S ribosomal RNA
Rfam family: Bacterial large subunit ribosomal RNA (bases 147-293)
Source: RNAcentral
GGACAAGAAGACCCUAAGAAUUUUAAAAUUAAUAAGUUUUUAUAAAAAAAAUUAUUGGUUUUUAGUUGGGGCAACUAAAAAAUAUUAUAAACUUUUUUUAAAUAAAAUGAUCCAUUAUUAAUGAUUAUUUGGAAAAAUACUCUAGGGAUAACAGCGUAAUAAUUUUUGAUAGAACAUAUAGACAAAAUAGUUUGCGACCUCGAUGUUGGAUUAGGAUUCUUUUUUCAAUGAAGAUGUUAAAAAAAGAAGUUUGUUCAACUUUUAAAGUCCUACUUGAUCUGAGUUCAGACGGG